RNAcentral lists this transfer RNA (74 nucleotides) under Gnomoniopsis smithogilvyi. Its description in RNAcentral is "tRNA-Val". The record is from RNAcentral. Lineage: Eukaryota; Fungi; Ascomycota; Sordariomycetes; Diaporthales; Gnomoniaceae.
GGUUUCAUGGUCUAGUUGGUUAUGACAUGAGCUUAACACGCUCAGGGUCCCCGGUUCGAGCCCGGGUGAAAUCA